Molecule: ribosomal RNA, 561 nt
Filed under: uncultured archaeon
Lineage: Archaea
Description: bacterial SSU rRNA
Rfam family: Archaeal small subunit ribosomal RNA
Source: RNAcentral
UCGCCCUUCGGGGUGCACCAGGCGCGAAAACUCUACAAUGCAGGCAACUGCGAUAGGGGAACAUCGAGUGAUCCUCAUAUUGGGGGUCUGUCCACCCGCCUAAAAAGCGGGUGUUAGCAAGGGCCGGGCAAGACCGGUGCCAGCCGCCGCGGUAAUACCGGCGGCUCGAGUGGUGGCCGAUAUUAUUGAGUCUAAAGGGUCCGUAGCCGGCUUUGCAAGUCUCUCGGGAAAUCCAGCGGCUUAACCGUUGGUCGUCCGGGGGGUACUACAUUGCUUGGGACUGGGAGAGGUAGGAGGUACUCAGGGGGUAGGAGUGAAAUCCUGUAAUCCUUUGGGGACCACCGGUGGCGAAGGCGUCCUACCAGAACAGGUCCGACGGUGAGGGACGAAAGCUAGGGGCACGAACCGGAUUAGAUACCCGGGUAGUCCUAGCCGUAAACGAUGCUCGCUAGGUGUCACAACAGUCGUGAACUGUUGUGGUGCCGUAGGGAAGCCGUGAAGCGAGCCACUUGGGAAGUACGACCGCAAGGUUGAAACUUAAAGGAAUUGGCGGGGGAGCAC